UGGGCCCGCGCCGCGAGCUGCAGUUCCGGGCUGCGCUCUGGCGCGGGAUUCAAGGUGUGUUCGGCGAGUCCUUGUGUAGGGGCGGCUGGGCGGGGGAGAGUCCUGAGUUUGUACUGGAAUCUGCAGCUGAGAUUAGCCAGACCGGGCCCGCCCAGAGGAGGGAUUGGAAGCUGGUGCACUUGACAUUCGAAGAGCGCGAAGGGGAAACGACGCUGCCUCACACCCAGUGCUAGGAGAGUGCGGGUACGGCCCUUCCACAUUUUUCGCUGGCCUGGGGCUCCCAGAUUUCACGAUGCUUCCCUCUAUCCCGCCUCAUUGACCCCUGGACAACCCUGAAAUAUCAUCGUCAGCAUUAUUUCAUCGGAAAGAAGGGCAGCAAGAGAGGCCGGAUGAUUCUCCCAAGGCCACACAGCUAAUUAGUGGGCAGAGCCCAGUCUAGAAGCCAUCUCACCAUCUGACACCUUUCGACAAAGUGCAAAACGCGGUGGUGAGAGACGAGGACACAGACAUUAAGAUUCCGCUCCAGCCCUAGAGGCACUGAGAAUCAGAACGUGAACUACUCUUCACUCCAGGCAGAAAGCAAGAGGCUUGGAUGAGUUUUAGGAAACCAGCACAGUGUCGGGCACAGAGCGCUCAAUGAAUAGAUGUGUAACAACAAAGUAGGGAUCCAACAGAGGAAGAAAUAAUUUAUUGUAAGGUGGCCUUUGGGAAAGCUCUCAGAAAGGUGGAUGAAUCACUUAAGAGGAAUGGACUCCAGCAGCAUCACAGAAUCAAAGCAACACCUAAGGAAUUCACUGUUUCUUCACAUACUUUGAACUGUGAAAACAAGAGUCAUCAUAAUAGCUGCAGUUUACUCAGUACCUACCAGGUACUGUCACCUAUACUGUCUCUAAAGCCCCUACAACCCUGAGCUAAGGAUGAUCAUAUCCCCAACUGCAGAUGAUGACACUGAAGCUCAACGGCUACUCAACUUGCCUGGAAUCCUACAGCAAAAACUGUUAUGAAUGUACUCCACCAAGGCAAGAAAGGAAGAAGACAUGGAAUUUAAAAAACAGAGGAUCUACUAUGAAAGAGAAAGGUGAAGGGAAUUCCAGGCUGAUGGUAAAUGCAAAUUCCAGGAUGAGAGUUGGGCAGCAGGCCUAGAGUGCACUCCGUCCUGGGAGGAGCCAGAUGAUAGAGGGCUCUAGGAGAGAAGGCUCCAAGGGAAAAUGAAACAAGUAAGUGACCUGACGUGUGUCUGAACCAGCCCAGAGGAGAUCCAUAGUUCUGAUAAGGAGUCUGGGGUGGAAAUAAUAGGUACAUGGAACACUAUGCAAACAAAAUACUAAUUAUUAAUCCUGGGAAAUAAAAGUAACUGCAGUUUACUAUGUGACUCAGCUAUAAAUAAUAUAAAUACUGUAUAUUAACCUGAUAAAAAUGAUGAUUUACCUAAAUUGGGAGGAUGGGGAAGAGAAGUAUUUGUCCGGGGACAGGGGAGCUGCAAGAGUACUAAACCGUAUCUCCCACAGUAUGAUGUCAAAAGAUAAUAUAAAUAAAUAAGAAAGAAUAAC
This 1550-nucleotide long non-coding RNA is filed under the name Homo sapiens (human). RNAcentral describes it as "GALNT16 and EXD2 antisense RNA 1, transcript variant 5 (GALNT16-AS1)". The record is from RNAcentral. Lineage: Eukaryota; Metazoa; Chordata; Mammalia; Primates; Hominidae.